RNAcentral lists this ribosomal RNA (253 nucleotides) under uncultured bacterium. RNAcentral's name for it is "partial 16S ribosomal RNA". It matches the Rfam family "Bacterial small subunit ribosomal RNA", at positions 524 to 776 of the family's 1533-position model. The record is from RNAcentral.
UACGAAGGGGGCUAGCGUUGCUUGGAAUCACUGGGCGUAAAGCGCACGUAGGCGGAUUGCUAAGUCAGGGGUGAAAUCCUGGAGCUCAACUCCAGAACUGCCCUUGAUACUGGCGGUCUCGAGUCCGGGAGAGGUGAGUGGAGCUGCGAGUGUAGAGGUGAAAUUCGUAGAUAUUCGCAAGAACACCAGUGGCGAAGGCGGCUCACUGGCCCGGUACUGACGCUGAGGUGCGAAAGCGUGGGGAGCAAACAGG